Molecule: ribosomal RNA, 253 nt
Filed under: uncultured bacterium
Lineage: Bacteria
Description: partial 16S ribosomal RNA
Rfam family: Bacterial small subunit ribosomal RNA
Source: RNAcentral
UACGAAGGGGGCGAGCGUUGUUCGGAUUUACUGGGCGUAAAGGGCGCGUAGGCGGCUUUGUAAGUUAGAGGUGAAAGCCCGGAGCUCAACUCCGGAAUUGCCUUUAAGACUGCAUCGCUCGAAUCAUGGAGAGGUGAGUGGAAUUCCGAGUGUAGAGGUGAAAUUCGUAGAUAUUCGGAAGAACACCAGUGGCGAAGGCGACUUACUGGACGAUUGUUGACGCUGAGGUGCGAAAGCGUGGGGAGCAAACAGG